GACCCUAGUUAUAGUUGUACAGUACAAAUCAAGUGAGAUAAGGGUUGAACUGUAUAAUGCACUACUGGUAUAAUGUACUAGUGAGACCACAUUUACAAAAGUGCAUUCAGUUCUGGUCCCUGCACUACAAAAAAGACAUUACAUCUUUGUGGAGAGUUCAGCGAAGAACAACCAGACUAAACUAAUGAAUGUAGUCCAACCAGUUUAUUGGACCAUGGCUACUUUUACCUGACCUGUCACUUACUGUAUUACCAUUGCUUUGAGCCUAAUAUUAUCAGUGUUUAGAAGCUAAGAAAGGUUGAGUUUGGUCAAUAAUUGGAUGGGGGACCUCUAAGGAAAAUCUGGUGUCAUAAUGUGUGAAGCUCUCUCUCUCUCUUCCCACUGAGCCAGCCACCAGUGCCCCAGCAUGAUGUUAGGAGACAGUAGGAGAUGCUUUGAGACGGUAAACCCAGGCCUGGCAUUUUUCAUGUCAUGGCUUAACUCCAAUACAGGUCAAUGGGCCUAACUUCCAUUGUGCUGUAAUGAGAAGGCACUUUUGGUAAUGUCAAAAAGUGAGAAUCGUACACUCUAAUUACGCCUGUUUCAUAUUUUCCUAUUUCUCUUAAAUACAUUUAUUUUCAUAUUGAAUUCCCCUAAACUCAGAUAUUUAAGUUGUUAUCUUUAAAAUACUCUCCAUUUCCCUGCCCUGUUCCCCAAGUCACCCCUGGAAAGCAAUUCUAUCUGGUUAAAUAGAGAAUUUGAUCUGGUUUGAUUGAUUUUAUACAAAAAUGUGUUUUCAGCAGCAAUACUGUGACAGUACUGUGGUAUGUUUCCCCCUGUCUUUUAUUUAUUUCUUGUAUUUAACAAUUUUUAAGCGGGUAACUGAGGUGCAGCUUGGCGUUUCCAAUGGGGACCAGGUGGCAGCUGCAAUAUCCAUUCACUUACACAUGCAGUGGAGCACAUAAAAAUCAUUACAGGAAAACAAUACAUCAUCAACAGGUAAUACAUGGAAAUGUGAAUAAAACUUACUCGAAUGGACAAACUUUUCCACCUUCGUCAUGUUGUAUACUUUGAGGCAGAGAGGUAAAAAGUACGGCUGCCAUAUUAAGGUUGUUUUAUACUAAUGUCCAAUUGUAAGACAAACCACAGUGCUUGCUCUCUCUCAAAGGCAGAAAAGGCUGCUGGCAAUUUCCUUUUGUUUCCUCAGACUGCAAGACUGAACUGAACCAGUCUGAUAAGUCAUAUAAUGGUUUCUAAUGUAGAGGAUGUGAGAUGAGUAACUGUAUAACUUGCACAUGCUAGUGCAGGCUCCUUAACAGGGAUGGGAGAGAUCAAGUCGCUGGGUGAAAGGGGGCAUAGUCGUGGGAUCAGAAGAUGCCCACUGACCUUCAUUUUUCAUGAGCUGUUGUGAGGAACUGCUGCAUUGAGGGAAUGUAAUUGGACCUUCAAAAUUGGGAAGAAAAUAGGGGAUAAAAUAAUUGAACAAAAAAAAAAAAUGUAUUAUGUAGAUAGUGGCUUAUUCAUCAAUAUCAAUCAUAUGCAUUGCCAUUGUACUGUUGAAACUGUAUUGUCAUUGAAGGUCAUUUGGUAAGGAGUGUUCUCUAAAAUGAGCAGAGUGUGCUGUUUUAGUGAGAGGGUUGCAUGCAUUCUGAAUACUGUCACACUGGUGCAUUAAUUCCCCCGGAUCAGCACUGAAGCCCCCAUCAAUUUAAAUGAUGCACAGACUGUAAGUUAAUGUCACUGUAUGUUACCUUCUAAAUUUUUGUCUGACCUUACCGCAAUAAUGCCUUGAUUUACCCUGCUUGAUGCAGAGGGAGAUGCGCUGUCCUUUUGUUACUUAUUUUCACAGUUCGGUUGCCAGGGUCUUUCUGAAUAUUUACUGCAAAUGGUUCCGUUGGUUAAUAAAAAUUUUCAUUUUAAAAAAAGAGCCUUGGUUUUUUUCGGAAGAUUUGAAGGUUCAGUGUGAGAUUGGGUACCGUAACUCAGUGGGUACAAAACUGCCACUUACACAAGCUGUAAACCCUGGAGGAAUUGCGAGCAGAGACAAGACAGGACUCUCUUCUUCAUCUUCUUUACAGAGGAAUGGAGUCUUAUCAACAGGGAUUAUUGUCUUUUCAAACAUAUGCUACUUGUAUAAUGCAGUAACCAAGUUUUCGUUGUUUUAUAUUUUGCUUUGUUUUCAUUUGUUUUGUUUUUGAUGCAUUCUAACUAUUUGAAAUGACAAAUCCAAGUGACCUCACUGCUGCAGGUUGACUGAAUAUUAACCUCUGUUCCUGCAGGAAAAUCUGUGCAUCUGAUGUUACCUAGCUACUGAACCCUGGAGAUGAAAGCCCAGCCUGGGAGGUCUUCAUCUGGACUGGUUGGGGUGCCUGACCAGCAGGGGUCCCUGUGACGAGAUGAGCUUGAACUAUCCCCAGACAAUGUAAAGUUUGACACAAGUGAUUCCAAAGAUAUGCUACCUUUAUACCACGAGACGUGUUGUCCUACGGAAGGCUUGCGAAUGGCCAGCGAGGUCUCCAGGAUGGCAGACAGUCUGAAAAAAGAGGGUCUGGAAACUGAGAGGACUGUUAGCUACAGACCUUCCAGCAGCCAGCCACCACUGUAAAACAAAACCAGCCAAAUUGAACAAGGAGAGACCCACUGCAAAAACAACUAAGACAUUAAUACAUAUUCAGAUUUAAUUUGGCAUCUUGCACUCAAACUGCACAGAUCGGAUCGAGAUUAAUGCGCCAAAUACCGAAAUCAGUUUGUAAUCAUUUAUUUGUACUUGCUGCUUCGAGUUCUGAGCUAGUUCUCUAUCAUGAAAACAACAAGGAGCAACUGGGAGUUCAUAAUGAAUUACAGGAAGUAAAGGUCUACUGAUUGGGAUUAUUCAGUCACAAUCCACACUAGAGUCAAUGGCUUGUUUUCCUCUCUGAAAGUCACUUUGAAUACGGACAUAGUAUUGAUAACAUGUUUUUAUAUACAAACCAAAAGUAUUGAAAAU
Acipenser ruthenus (sterlet) is the source of this 2965-nucleotide long non-coding RNA. RefSeq lists it as uncharacterized. The transcript is spliced from 2 exons. Lineage: Eukaryota; Metazoa; Chordata; Actinopteri; Acipenseriformes; Acipenseridae. The record is from RefSeq and is a predicted model, not a curated record.